CAGUCGCCGCGGGAAUACGAAGGGGGCUAGCGUUGUUCGGAUUUACUGGGCGUAAAGGGUGCGUAGGCGGACUGAUAAGUCAGGGGUGAAAUCCCAAGGCUCAACCUUGGAACUGCCUUUGAUACUGUUAGUCUUGAGUUCGAGAGAGGUGGGUGGAACUGCGAGUGUAGAGGUGAAAUUCGUAGAUAUUCGCAAGAACACCAGUGGCGAAGGCGGCUCACUGGCUCGAAACUGACGCUGAGGCACGAAAGCGUGGGGAGCAAACAGGAUUAGAGACCCCUGUAGUCCCUGUCUCUUAUAC
Molecule: ribosomal RNA, 301 nt
Filed under: uncultured bacterium
Lineage: Bacteria
Description: partial 16S ribosomal RNA
Rfam family: Bacterial small subunit ribosomal RNA
Source: RNAcentral